GAUGAACGCUGGCGGCGUGCUUAACACAUGCAAGUCGAACGGUUAAACCGCCUUCGGGCGGAUAUACAGUGGCGAACGGGUGAGUAACACGUGACCAACCUGCCCACCGCUCCGGGAUAACGCGGGGAAACCCGCGCUAAUACCGGGUACUCCGGUGCGGGCGCAUGCCCGCGCCGGGAAAGCCCAGGCGGCGGUGGAUGGGGUCGCGGCCCAUCAGGUAGUUGGGGGGGUAACGGCCCACCAAGCUUACGACGGGUAGCCGGGCUGAGAGGCCGAUCGGCCACAUUGGGACUGAGACACGGCCCAG
Molecule: ribosomal RNA, 307 nt
Filed under: uncultured bacterium
Lineage: Bacteria
Description: bacterial SSU rRNA
Rfam family: Bacterial small subunit ribosomal RNA
Source: RNAcentral